Lontra canadensis (Northern American river otter) is the source of this 262-nucleotide long non-coding RNA. RefSeq lists it as uncharacterized. The record is from RefSeq and is a predicted model, not a curated record. The transcript has 3 exons. Lineage: Eukaryota; Metazoa; Chordata; Mammalia; Carnivora; Mustelidae.
UUGGGAAGGAGGCACGUAGAUUUCUGAAGGCUGUAAGUCAAGGGCACAGGACAUUUUCCAGACACCAGAACACAAAAGGAUGUAAAGGUUAAAGCAGUGUCAUAGAAAUGACAAAGACCUUGCUACCUAUGAUGACAUGAAAAUAAAAUGCAGAAAAAUCCUGCUGGAACCUGGGAUCAGGACGUCCUCAGGGGAAGGAAGGAGGAGUAAGGAAAGGUUUCUAGAAUGUGUGGUUCAGCAGCAGUGGCAAGGUAAGGUCUAG